This 406-nucleotide ribosomal RNA is filed under the name uncultured bacterium. RNAcentral describes it as "partial 16S ribosomal RNA". It matches the Rfam family "Bacterial small subunit ribosomal RNA", at positions 30 to 526 of the family's 1533-position model. The record is from RNAcentral.
AUUGAACGCUGGCGGCAGGCCUAACACAUGCAAGUCGAACGAGUGGCGGACGGGUGAGUAAUGUCUGGGAAACUGCCUGAUGGAGGGGGAUAACUAAUGGAAAAGGUAGCUAAUACCGCAUACAAUCAGAUGUGCCCAGAUGGGAUGAGCUUGUUGGUGGGGUAAAGGCUCACCAAGGGGACGAUCCCUAGCUGGUAUGAGAGGAUGACCAGCCACACUGGAACUGCGACACGGUCCAGACUCCGACGUGAGGCAGCAGUGGGGAAUAUUGCACAAUGGGCGCAAGCCUGAUGCAGCCAUGCAGCGUGUAUGAAGAAGGCCUCCGGGUUGUAAAGUACUUUCAGCGGGGAGGCGUUACCCGCAGAAGAAGCACCGGCUAACUCCGUGCCAGCCGCCGCGGUAAUUC